GGCUCAGGACGAACGCUGGCGGCGUGCUUAACACAUGCAAGUCGAACGAUGAACCUCCUUCGGGAGGGGAUUAGUGGCGAACGGGUGAGUAACACGUGGGCAAUCUGCCCUGCACUCUGGGACAAGCCCUGGAAACGGGGUCUAAUACCGGAUACUGAUCAUCUUGGGCAUCCUUGGUGAUCGAAAGCUCCGGCGGUGCAGGAUGAGCCCGCGGCCUAUCAGCUUGUUGGUGAGGUAAUGGCUCACCAAGGCGACGACGGGUAGCCGGCCUGAGAGGGCGACCGGCCACACUGGGACUGAGACACGGCCCAGACUCCUACGGGAGGCAGCAGUGGGGAAUAUUGCACAAUGGGCGAAAGCCUGAUGCAGCGACGCCGCGUGAGGGAUGACGGCCUUCGGGUUGUAAACCUCUUUCAGCAGGGAAGAAGCGAAAGUGACGGUACCUGCAGAAGAAGCGCCGGCUAACUACGUGCCAGCAGCCGCGGUAAUACGUAGGGCGCGAGCGUUGUCCGGAAUUAUUGGGCGUAAAGAGCUCGUAGGCGGCUUGUCGCGUCGGUUGUGAAAGCCCGGGGCUUAACCCCGGGUCUGCAGUCGAUACGGGCAGGCUAGAGUUCGGUAGGGGAGAUCGGAAUUCCUGGUGUAGCGGUGAAAUGCGCAGAUAUCAGGAGGAACACCGGUGGCGAAGGCGGAUCUCUGGGCCGAUACUGACGCUGAGGAGCGAAAGCGUGGGGAGCGAACAGGAUUAGAUACCCUGGUAGUCCACGCCGUAAAC
RNAcentral lists this ribosomal RNA (772 nucleotides) under Streptomyces werraensis. RNAcentral describes it as "bacterial SSU rRNA". It matches the Rfam family "Bacterial small subunit ribosomal RNA", at positions 21 to 807 of the family's 1533-position model. The record is from RNAcentral. Lineage: Bacteria; Bacillati; Actinomycetota; Actinomycetes; Kitasatosporales; Streptomycetaceae.